RNAcentral lists this non-coding RNA (21 nucleotides) under Caenorhabditis elegans. Lineage: Eukaryota; Metazoa; Nematoda; Chromadorea; Rhabditida; Rhabditidae. The record is from RNAcentral.
UUUAGUAGACCUUAGACCUUC